CACUUUAGCUGCGAACAGGCAUAUUCUGGGAAGGAAACUUUGUGUAAACGUAUUACAUAGCUCCCAAAAGAAUAAAAUCACCAUUUUUUCAAGUAAAACGGUCUUUUUUAUAGAGAGUUUUUGCACUGAACUCGGAUGGAUUAAAAAAAAUUAAAAAAAAAUUGGAGGUCGGGGACUUUUAUCAGGUCGGGCGGGGACGCUAAACAAGCAAUUUUUUUUUGUG
Paramuricea clavata is the source of this 223-nucleotide non-coding RNA. The record is from the annotation of a GenBank genome assembly. NCBI's taxonomy places the organism in Eukaryota, Metazoa, Cnidaria, Anthozoa, Malacalcyonacea, Plexauridae.